RNAcentral lists this transfer RNA (87 nucleotides) under Cytophagaceae bacterium. RNAcentral describes it as "tRNA-Leu". It matches the Rfam family "tRNA". Rfam says of the family: Transfer RNA (tRNA) molecules are approximately 80 nucleotides in length. Their secondary structure includes four short double-helical elements and three loops (D, anti-codon, and T loops). The record is from RNAcentral. Lineage: Bacteria; Pseudomonadati; Bacteroidota; Cytophagia; Cytophagales; Cytophagaceae.
GCGGUCGUGGUGGAAUUGGUAGACUCGCUGGCUUCAGGUGCCAGUGUGCGAAAGCACGUGUCGGUUCGAGUCCGACCGACCGCACCA